This 5693-nucleotide long non-coding RNA is filed under the name Malus domestica (apple). Its description in RNAcentral is "long non-coding RNA (MDOM_LNC003325)". The record is from RNAcentral. Lineage: Eukaryota; Viridiplantae; Streptophyta; Magnoliopsida; Rosales; Rosaceae.
AGAGAGAAAGCUCAAAAGAGAGGGAAACUUUCUAACUGAUUUAUUAUUUCAGUUGCUACCUUAUUACAAGAGAUAUUUCACUAUAAAUACAUGUUGACCUAUCUAUCUCAACUCAUAUAAUCCAAUGACACAUGUCAUAAUCUUGACCACUAAUAUACUCUAACAUUCCCCCUCAAUCUUAUAUCUUCGGCGAACCAAGCAUAAGAUUGGAACAAUGAGUGGUAAACAAUGGAGAACAUAAACCCUUUGUGAAAAUAUCGGCAUAUUGAGCUGUGGAAGCAACAAAUUGCAGAGAGAUAACACCUUGUUGAACCCUCUCUCUCACAAAAUGACAAUCCACCUCUAUGUGUUUGGCUUUAGAAUGCAAUACCGGAUUUGUAGCCAAAGCCAUAGCAGAGACGUUGUCACAAUGUAAACUGGGAGGAGAGGAAAUGUCAAGAUGAAGGUCCUGCAAAAGUUGUUGAAGCCAAACAACUUCGGCAGUGGUAGUGGCCAUAGCCCUGUAUUCAGCCUCUGUCGAUGAUCGGCUAACUGUGUGUUGUUUCUUAGAACUCCAAGAAAUGGGAUUGGAGCCUAAAAACACAACAAAACCUGUAGUAGACCGCCGAUCAUUGGGAUCACUAGCCUAAUCAGCAUCUGUGUAAGCUCGUAAACACAGAGAACCAGGUUGAAAGAAGAUUCCCCAGUCCAAAGUACCGCGGAGAUAGCGAAGAAUCCGCUUGACAGCAACAUAAUGAGAUUCCAGAGGAGAAUGCAUAAAUUGGCACACUUGAUUCACAUAAUAGGCAAUAUCAGGCCGUGUAAAGGUUAAGUAUUGAAGAGCUCCGACAAUGCUCCUGUAAUGUGUUGGAUCGGAAUAACAAGGACUACCAUGAGUCAGAAGUUUCUGAUUAGGAUGACAGGGUGUGAUACAUGGUUUACACUCGAGCAUAUUCGUCCUUUGCAAGAGAUCAUGGACAUAUUUAGACUGAUGCACAAAUAAUCCCGGAGAUUGAUAGGCGAUUUGCAAGCCAAGAAAAUAGUGGAGAAUCCCUAAGUCCUUCAUGUCAAACUCAGUGGUUAACUUAGAGAUAACAGACUGAACACAAGCAUCACUAUCACCAGUAAGAAUAAUGUCAUCCACAUAUAACAGUAACACAACCAUGUUGGUACCAUUAUGUUGAACAAACAUUGAAGGAUCGGCAUAAGAAGACUUAAAACCCAAUGAAAGUAAGAAGGUGGUGAACCUGUCAUUCCAAGCUCGGGGAGCUUGUUUGAGACCAUAAGUGACCGUUGUAAUUUGCAAACAUAGUCGGGAUGAGCCUUGUUAACGAAACCCUGUGGCUGAGACAUAUACACCUCUUCCUCAAGAAAUCCAUGUAAAAAUGCAUUCUUGACAUCAAGUUGUUUCAGUUUCCAACCUUGAGUGGCUGCAAGAGAUAGAAUGAGUCUCACAGUAGUUGGCUUCACCACUGGACUGAAUGUUCCAUAAUAAUCCAAACCAGCUUCUUGAGAAAAACCUUUGGCCACCAAACGAGCCUUAUAUCUGGCAACUGACCCAUCGGGAUGUCGUUUGAAUUUGUAUAUCCAUUUACAACCCACGAAAUUUUUAUUGGGUGGUAAUGGAACAAGGUGCCAGGUAUGUUGCUGUAGUAAUGCAUCCAUUUCUUCUUGCAUAGCAAGCUGCCACUGUGGAGACUUAGAAGCUGCAGAAUAAGUCGUUGGUUCUUUAACAGAAUCAAGAUGAAAGGAAGUAUGAUAAACCUUUUUCUUCUUAGAUAUCCCAGAUUUAGACCGUGUCUGCAUAGAAUGGAAAUUCUGAGAAUGCAAUGGAACUAGUUGUAACUCAGGAGCUUGAGAAGUAGUAGUAUCUGGAUGUAAGUUCGAACCCAUAUGAGUUGGAGAAGUAGUAGCAUUUGGAGGUAAUGAGGAACCCAUGGCAGAAUCAGAGAUUAACCCCAUUGAUGAAUCUGAGACUGAAUUAGAGAUAGCCGGCGAUGUGGAGACAAGAUCACCUUGAUGGAGAAUAUGGGACUGAGUAACUGGACUAGUAGUAUGGGAAAAUGCAAGAACAAUGGCACGAGGUAAGAGAUUAUGAUUUAAGGAAUGAUGCUCAAAUGAGUUUGAAUGAGGGACAGAGAGUGGGACAACUGAUGACAAAGAUGCAGUAGACUGUAGAUGGUGAAGGGUAGUGAACCAGGAAACUGACUUUCAUCAAACAAGACAUGUCGAGACACAAUUAACUUGUUAUCUUUGACAGAGUAACAAAUAUAACCUUUAUACUGAGAUGCAUACCCCAAAAAAAAUACAAACAGUGGUUUUUGGAUCAAGUUUGGUUGUUCUGUAGGGUUUCAAAGAGGGAAAACAAGUACAACAAAAAAUGCGUAAGUGAGCAAGUUGAGGAGGUGAUUUAUGCAAGACCUCAAAGGGAGAUUUCAUGAGUAAAGUGGAGGUUGGCAUCCUAUUGAUAAGAUAGGUUGCAGUAGCACAUGCAUGGUACCAAAAAAUAGAAGGUAAUGAAGCUUGCUGCAAGAGAGUAAUGGCAGUCUCAACAACAUGCCUGUUUUUCCUCUCGGCUAACCCAUUCUGCUCAGGGGUAUAAGGACAAGACUUUUGAUGAGUUAUACCAUUGUCCCGAAGAAAAUACUGAAAAGAAGCACCAAUAUAUUCCCCACCCCCAUCACUUUGAAGAGUUUUAAUAUGAGCAUCAAAAGAAUUCAAUACAAGGGAAUGAAAUUGCACAAAAUGACCAAAGACAACAGCUUUAUUGAUGAUUGGAAAAAUCCAUGUAUACCUAGUACAUUCGUCUAUGAAAGAGACAUAAUAUCUAUACCCCUCAAUAGACAUACCAGGUGCAGGCCCCCAUACAUCAGAAUGUAUAACUGCAAAAGGAAGUACAGAUUUUGAAGCAGGAGAAGGAAAAGGAAGUUUAGUAAACUUUCCUUCCAAACAGGGAGUACAAGGCUGAGAUGGUGCAGUACAAUGGAAAGGAAUGGCAGACUUACUAAGAACUAGCUUAACUAUGUGAUUAGUAGGAUGACCCAUGCGACGGUGCCACAAUGAAGAAGACACCUUUUGACCAAGAAAUGCUGCUGGUAAGACCUUUGAUUUUGGAAGCACAGGAAGAGGAUAAACGGCAUGAUUACUCAGUCCUUGGAACAAUAUUCUCUCAGUGAUCUUGUCCUGUAUACAGAGAGAAAACUCAUCAAUGAUACAUUGACAAUUAUUAUCUUUGCAUAAUUGAUGCAUAGACAAUAAGUGUUGGGACAAACGAGGAACAUGCAAUACAGAUUGAAGUUUAAAAGUAUGAGACUUGGUUGGAGGGUUAGAUUUGCCAAUAUGAGCAAUAACCAAACCUUCACCACUAGCACCAGUGACAGUAUCCGUAUGAGGAUAAGGAAAGGCCAUCUGAAGAUUAGAAAUAUCAGAGGUCAUGUGAUGAGUAGCGCCGGAGUCAAGAAGCCAGAACUCUUGUUGGGGUGCAGAUGGAGUGGGAGUAGCUUGAGCCGUCAUAGCCACAGGAGAAUGAGAAGAACCACUCAUGCCAGAGGACUGACCAUUGAAAUGCAUGCCAGAUGACUGACUAUUGAAAUUCAUAGACUGGUGUGAGGCUGGAGACUGUUGAGACUGGAACUGUGGAAAAUGUGGUUGAUAAUACUGCUGUGAUGACUGAUAUCCCAGAGCUGAAGAAUUAUUUCUGUCAAAACAAGUUGCAGCCGUAUGCCCCACUCUAUGGCAAAUCUAACAACCAUGUUGAAAACAAUUGAUAGCAGAGUGACCCUUUUUAUCACAAAUUUGACACUUCUGCAUUGGUUGAUAACUCUGUGGAAAGAUCAUUUGUUGUUGUGGUCCGGAUGCUGAAUGCGAUUGAGACUGAGGUGAAUACUGAUUUCCACCAAAUGAGAACUGUUGUGGAAACUGUCCUUGAUUUCCUUGAUUACCCUGAAAAAACUUCUUGCCUUUCCCUUUGUGUUUGAAAUUAUUUCCUCUGAAAUUAUUGUAUGUACCUGAACCACUUUGAGAGACAAAGGCCAAGGGUCCAGGAAAAGGAAGUUGUUGACACUGAGGAUAGGGUAAUUGUUGCUGUGAAAAGGGUUGUGAGAAAGGAAUAGGUAAGAACUGAGGAGGUUGUUGAAGAGGCACAUAGGAAUAUGGUGAUUGAGGGCUAGAAGCAAGGCCAAAAUAGCUGCCAGAUGACCUUCCUUAGUACCAGAUACACCUCCAGUGUCAUAUGCAGAUGGAGAAUUAUGAGCCAACAUAGCGGACAUGAGAGGAACUUGCUUAAUGACUUCAUUCAGCGUAUCUUCUUCAGCUUUCAAUUGAGACCGCAGUUCUUUAAGAGAUACCAAUGUUUCUCGGCCACGAAUGACAGACUUAAUAGUGUUAUACUCAGGAGGUAAACCCCGUAAUGCAACAAUAGCAAUGUCCUCAUCAGAAAUUAGAACCCCAACAGCAGUUAAAUGAUCCCUAGCAUCUUUAAUCCUCUGAAGAUAAGCAUCAAUGGAUUCAGGACCUUUCCUAAUAUUCUGAAGAUCAAUCUUCAUUUGAACAAUACUCGUCCGAGUCAUAUUUGCAAAUCUUUCUCGAAGACUAGUCCACAUUUCCUUAAAACUCUUACACCCAAUAACACAUGAUAAAGCAGCAGUCGACAGGGUAGCAGUAAUAAGCGUCAUUAAUGCCUUAUCAUGUAUCUUCCAAACAGUAUAAGCAUCAGAAUUCAACUCAGUGUUAUCAGGACAUAAAACAGAUCCAUCAAGAAAACCAAAAAUGCCAUUUCCAUCAAGCAAUAACUCCAUUUGGAAAUUCCAAGUCACAUAGUUAGAAUCAUCAAGUUUGACAGUGACAGUAUUACCCACAGUGGGAAUGAGAGAUGAAAUUGGGGAUUAAGUAAGAGCCAAUUGAGCAGAUGUAACCAUUGUUUAGCCAGAAACACCACAAAGCAAGCAACGCAAAUAUACAGAAUGCACACCCAGAAGCAAUCCACAAAUGACGCUACAAUCGGACAGAAAUGAACAACUUCGCAGAAACCAAAAUUUCCACAAUCUAGGGUUUCAAACAAUACUUGAUCAAGACAUCAAGAUCGCAAUAACAAUGUAGUAGAUAUGAGAAGAAACAAGAUCACCUUCCUUAAGCACAAAGAUGAAAGAAUGCAGCCGAAACACUAGCAAUGAAUCGAAGAACUCCAAAAGAUAGAGUUCGCGAUGAAUACCGACAAUCAAUCGCACCAGCAACCUUCAACAACCGACACAAAUGACGAGCAGGAACGCAAAUCAACGACGAACGACGAACGACGAGAACAACAAAACAAUGCGGAAGCAGAGGAUCGUCAAUCAAUGGUGUUACCCUUGAUCGGCGAUGAUACCAUGUUAACAAUAGCUAUGGAAGCUGAAAGAUCAGGAACGACCAGAGAUAGAAAGAGAGAAAGCUCAAAAGAGAGGGAAACUUUCUAACUGAUUUAUUAUUUCAGUUGCUACCUUAUUACAAGAGAUAUUUCACUAUAAAUACAUGUUGACCUAUCUAUCUCAACUCAUAUAAUCCAAUGACACAUGUCAUAAUCUUGACCACUAAUAUACUCUAACAUGGCAAACGUCGUUGCAUGCUGAGAUCCAACAACUUGUUCCUGGCUUCAGGCAGUCCUCUUCGAGAAAUCUACCACUGGAAUUUUCGCCAUUGUUUGCUAUUAAUUAGCUAGGCAGCUGUGAGAUACAAAUUCU